This 125-nucleotide small RNA is filed under the name Marmota monax (woodchuck). Lineage: Eukaryota; Metazoa; Chordata; Mammalia; Rodentia; Sciuridae. The record is from RNAcentral.
GCCGGGCAUGUUGGCACAUGCCUGUAAUCCCAGCAGCUCGGGAGGCUGAGACAGGAGUAUCCCGAGUUCAAAGCCAGCCUCAGCAAAAGUGAGGUGCUAAGUAACUCUGUGAGACCCUGUCUCUA